This is a non-coding RNA of Pelobates cultripes (western spadefoot toad), 85 nucleotides long. NCBI's taxonomy places the organism in Eukaryota, Metazoa, Chordata, Amphibia, Anura, Pelobatidae. The record is from the annotation of a GenBank genome assembly.
CGGCCCUUCAGAUGUUUUGGACUACAUCUCCCAUAAUGCUCUUACAGCAAUAAGGGAGAUGUAGUCCACAACAUCUGGAGGGCCA